CAGUAGCCGCGGUAAUACGGAGGGUGCGAGCGUUAAUCGGAAUUACUGGGCGUAAAGCGCACGCAGGCGGUUUGUUAAGUCAGAUGUGAAAGCCCCCGGCUCAACCGGGGAGGGUCAUUGGAAACUGGGAAACUUGAGUGCAGAAGAGGAGAGUGGAAUUCCACGUGUAGCGGUGAAAUGCGUAGAGAUGUGGAGGAACACCAGUGGCGAAGGCGACUCUCUGGUCUGUAACUGACGCUGAGGAGCGAAAGCGUGGGGAGCGAACAGGAUUAGAGACCCCAGUAGUCCCUGUCUCUUAACA
This 301-nucleotide ribosomal RNA is filed under the name uncultured bacterium. RNAcentral's name for it is "partial 16S ribosomal RNA". It matches the Rfam family "Bacterial small subunit ribosomal RNA", at positions 509 to 808 of the family's 1533-position model. The record is from RNAcentral.